UAGGGAAUAUUGGACAAUGGAGGCAACUCUGAUCCAGCCAUGCCGCGUGAACGAAGAAGGCGCUCUGCGUUGUAAAGUUCUUUUAGAGGGGAAUAAAAUGCGCCAUUUAUGGUGUACUGAAGGUACCUUCGGAAUAAGCACCGGCUAACUCUGUGCCAGCAGCCGCGGUAAUACAGAGGGUGCAAGCGUUAUCCGGAUUUACUGGGUUUAAAGGGUGCGUAGGCGGUUUAUUAAGUCAGAGGUGAAAGAUAAUCGCUUAACGAUUAAAUUGCCUUUGAUACUGGUAGACUUGAGUUAAGUUGAGGUUGGCGGAAUGAGACAUGUAGCGGUGAAAUGCUUAGAUAUGUCUUAGAACACCGAUUGCGAAGGCAGCUGACUGGACUUUAACUGACGCUGAGGC
RNAcentral lists this ribosomal RNA (400 nucleotides) under uncultured bacterium. RNAcentral's name for it is "bacterial SSU rRNA". It matches the Rfam family "Bacterial small subunit ribosomal RNA", at positions 355 to 752 of the family's 1533-position model. The record is from RNAcentral.